Molecule: ribosomal RNA, 468 nt
Filed under: uncultured bacterium
Lineage: Bacteria
Description: partial 16S ribosomal RNA
Rfam family: Bacterial small subunit ribosomal RNA
Source: RNAcentral
GACGAACGCUGGCGGCGUGCUUAACACAUGCAAGUCGAACGGAAAGGCCCUGCUUUUGUGGGGUGCUCGAGUGGCGAACGGGUGAGUAACACGUGAGUAACCUGCCCUUGACUUUGGGAUAACUUCAGGAAACUGGGGCUAAUACCGGAUAGGAGCUCCUGCUGCAUGGUGGGGGGGGGAAAGUUUCGGCGGUUGGGGAUGGACUCGCGGCUUAUCAGCUUGUUGGUGGGGUAGUGGCUUACCAAGGCUUUGACGGGUAGCCGGCCUGAGAGGGUGAACGGCCACAUUGGGACUGAGAUACGGCCCAGACUCCUACGGGAGGCAGCAGUGGGGAAUAUUGCACAAUGGGCGGAAGCCUGAUGCAGCAACGCCGCGUGCGGGAUGACGGCCUUCGGGUUGUAAACCGCUUUCGCCUGUGACGAAGCGUGAGUGACGGUAAUGGGUAAAGAAGCACCGGCUAACUACGUG